RNAcentral lists this transfer RNA (72 nucleotides) under Spirochaetia bacterium. RNAcentral's name for it is "tRNA-Thr". It matches the Rfam family "tRNA". From Rfam's summary of the family: Transfer RNA (tRNA) molecules are approximately 80 nucleotides in length. Their secondary structure includes four short double-helical elements and three loops (D, anti-codon, and T loops). Further hydrogen bonds mediate the characteristic L-shaped molecular structure. tRNAs have two regions of fundamental functional importance: the anti-codon, which is responsible for specific mRNA codon recognition, and the 3' end, to which the tRNAs corresponding amino acid is attached (by aminoacyl-tRNA synthetases). tRNAs cope with the degeneracy of the genetic code in two manners: having more than one tRNA (with a specific anti-codon) for a particular amino acid; and 'wobble' base-pairing, i.e. permitting non-standard base-pairing at the 3rd anti-codon position. Lineage: Bacteria; Pseudomonadati; Spirochaetota; Spirochaetia. RNAcentral also lists the same sequence under 2 other names. The record is from RNAcentral.
GCCUUUGUAGCUCAGGGGUAGAGCACUUCCAUGGUAAGGAAGGGGUCGUCGGUCCGAUUCCGACCGAAGGCU